UCGGGAAUUUUGGGCAAUGGGCGAAAGCCUGACCCAGCAACGCCGCGUGAGGGAUGAAGUAUUUCGGUAUGUAAACCUCGAAAGAAUGGGAAGAAUAAAUGACGGUACCAUUUAUAAGCUCCGGCUAACUACGUGCCAGCAGCCGCGGUAAUACGUAGGGAGCAAGCGUUGUUCGGAUUUACUGGGCGUAAAGGGCGCGUAGGCGGCGCGGUAAGGCACUUGUGAAAUCUCUGAGCUUAACUCAGAACGGCCAAGUGAUACUGCUGUGCUAGAGUGCGGAAGAGGCAACCGGAAUUCUUGGUGUAGCGGUGAAAUGCGUAGAUAUCAAGAGGAACACCUGAGGCGAAGGCGGGUUGCUGGGCCGACACUGACGCUGAUGCGCGAAAGCCAGGGGAGCAAACG
Molecule: ribosomal RNA, 402 nt
Filed under: uncultured bacterium
Lineage: Bacteria
Description: bacterial SSU rRNA
Rfam family: Bacterial small subunit ribosomal RNA
Source: RNAcentral